This 76-nucleotide transfer RNA is filed under the name Natribacillus halophilus. RNAcentral's name for it is "tRNA_Thr_GGT". It matches the Rfam family "tRNA". Rfam says of the family: Transfer RNA (tRNA) molecules are approximately 80 nucleotides in length. Their secondary structure includes four short double-helical elements and three loops (D, anti-codon, and T loops). Further hydrogen bonds mediate the characteristic L-shaped molecular structure. tRNAs have two regions of fundamental functional importance: the anti-codon, which is responsible for specific mRNA codon recognition, and the 3' end, to which the tRNAs corresponding amino acid is attached (by aminoacyl-tRNA synthetases). tRNAs cope with the degeneracy of the genetic code in two manners: having more than one tRNA (with a specific anti-codon) for a particular amino acid; and 'wobble' base-pairing, i.e. permitting non-standard base-pairing at the 3rd anti-codon position. RNAcentral also lists the same sequence under 1 other name. Lineage: Bacteria; Bacillati; Bacillota; Bacilli; Caryophanales; Bacillaceae. The record is from RNAcentral.
GCUUCCUUAGCUCAGCAGGCAGAGCGCAUCCAUGGUAAGGAUGAGGUCGCCGGUUCGAGUCCGGCAGGAAGCUCCA